RNAcentral lists this ribosomal RNA (253 nucleotides) under uncultured bacterium. Its description in RNAcentral is "partial 16S ribosomal RNA". It matches the Rfam family "Bacterial small subunit ribosomal RNA", at positions 524 to 776 of the family's 1533-position model. The record is from RNAcentral.
UACGUAGGGAGCAAGCGUUGUCCGGAAUCAUUGGGCGUAAAGCGCGCGUAGGUGGCCCCAUAAGUCCGCUGUGAAAGUCAAAGGCUCAACCUUUGAAAGCCGGUGGAUACUGUGGGACUAGAGUACGGAAGAGGCGAGUGGAAUUCCUGGUGUAGCGGUGGAAUGCGCAGAUAUCAGGAGGAACACCGGUGGCGAAGGCGGCGACCUGGUCCUAUACUGACACUCAUACACGAAAGCGUGGGGAUCAAACAGG